AUGCUAAAUCCAGAAGAACAGGGAUGCAGCCUUUGCUCAUGCUCUGAAUGCAUGUUUGUUUCCAAGAAGGAGCACACCUUCUCUAUAGGACCAAAAUUUCUGAGUAAAAACAGAGCCCUCUCUUGUGGUCUAGGACCUGAAGGAAUAUACAAGGUAGUCAAAACCAUAACAGGGAGAUUCCAUGACCUGACACAUCUUUAGUGCUUACAGGUGCUGCUGCAAUAAUACAAGAAGCUCCAUUACUCUUUCAGACUUGGGCACACGGACAGAACGCUGCAUGAGAACAGUGGCACAGAUUCAAGGAAAAAUUUUCCUUCCCUCUCUUGUGGGAUUUCUGUUGUUUUGAAUCUGAUCACAGGAGAAGAGUUCCAAGUCAGCAAGAAGGAGGGAAAAGUGAGAAAUGCUUGGGAAAAUUGAAAUGCUGCUGAGGAUUUAGGCAAAGGACACAGUCUAGGAGAGCAGAAUGAAAGUGUGUAUAACCAGCAAUUUCCACAGUUACGAUUUUAUUAAAACUGCUCUUGUUACUCUAUUGUAACUAAACUGACUUGUAUACUUACAAAUAGGGAAUAACCACUUUAAAGAAAUUGAUGUAAAAUGCUUUAACUAGUCUUUUGUUAAAGAGAGUGUCCAUGUUAGGAUUUUUCGACAAUUUGCAAAGUUAAUGUUUCUUAAAUGGGAAAGUUUUGAAUUCCCUAGAAAUUCUAUAGAAAACCCGAGUUGUGUGUGUUUCUUGGCUACCUCCUCCUUUUCCAGAUGCCUUGUAACUGUGAUAUAGCAGGAAAAAACAAUGCUAGCUUACUAGCAUAGUAAGAGAUGCAUAGUAGUUCCUCUCCCUCUGUAGGAGGGCAGAGGUAAAUGAAAUCUCUUUGAGCAAACUGUGCAUUAAAUGGCAACUUGCGGAGAUGACGUGCAUGUUUGCAGAGAACUAGGAGGCUACCUAAAAUAGAGAUUUGAAGUCACG
This 961-nucleotide long non-coding RNA is filed under the name Struthio camelus australis. Its description in RNAcentral is "lncRNA (ENSSCUG00000008334.1)". The record is from RNAcentral. Lineage: Eukaryota; Metazoa; Chordata; Aves; Struthioniformes; Struthionidae.